Molecule: unclassified non-coding RNA, 345 nt
Filed under: soil metagenome
Description: partial contains 5.8S ribosomal RNA, internal transcribed spacer 2, and large subunit ribosomal RNA
Rfam family: 5.8S ribosomal RNA (bases 1-121)
Source: RNAcentral
GAUGAAGAACGUAGCGAAAUGCGAUAAGUAAUGCGAAUUGCAGAAUUUCCGUGAGUCAUCGAAUCUUUGAACGCACAUUGCGCCCACUGGUAUUCCGGUGGGCAUGCCUGUUCGAGCGUCAUUACCCUCCCUCAAACCCCGGGUUUGGUGUUGGACCCAAGUUGUGUGAACAACUGGUCUUAAAGACAAUGACGGCGUCCGUGGGACCCUCGGUGCAACGAGCUUUUAGGAGCACGCAUCGAGUUGCAAGGACCUUCCGGGCCGGUCUCCUUUACUAUUUUACAAGGUUGACCUCGGAUCAGGUAGGAAUACCCGCUGAACUUAAGCAUAUCAAUAAGCGGAGGA